Molecule: ribosomal RNA, 497 nt
Filed under: uncultured bacterium
Lineage: Bacteria
Description: partial 16S ribosomal RNA
Rfam family: Bacterial small subunit ribosomal RNA
Source: RNAcentral
GAUGAACGCUGGCGGCGUGCCUAAUACAUGCAAGUCGAGCGAACGGACGAUAAGCUUGCUUUUCUGAUGUUAGCGGCGGACGGGUGAGUAACACGUGGAUAACCUACCUAUAAUACUGGGAUAACUUCGGGAAACCGGUGCUAAUACCGGAUAAUAUUUUGAACCGCAUGGUUCAAAAGUGAAAGACGGUCUUGCUGUCACUUAUAGAUGGAUCCGCGCUGCAUUAGCUAGUUGGUAAGGUAACGGCUUACCAAGGCAACGAUGCAUAGCCGACCUGAGAGGGUGAUCGGCCACACUGGAACUGAGACACGGUCCAGACUCCUACGGGAGGCAGCAGUAGGGAAUCUUCCGCAAUGGGCGAAAGCCUGACGGAGCAACGCCGCGUGAGUGAUGAAGGUCUUCGGAUCGUAAAACUCUGUUAUUAGGGAAGAACAUAUGUGUAAGUAACUGUGCACAUCUUGACGGUACCUAAUCAGAAAGCCACGGCUAACUACGUG